This 463-nucleotide ribosomal RNA is filed under the name uncultured bacterium. Its description in RNAcentral is "partial 16S ribosomal RNA". It matches the Rfam family "Bacterial small subunit ribosomal RNA", at positions 28 to 507 of the family's 1533-position model. The record is from RNAcentral.
GACGAACGCUGGCGGCGUGCUUAACACAUGCAAGUCGAACGGUAAGGCCCUUCGGGGUACACGAGUGGCGAACGGGUGAGUAACGCGUGAGUAACCUGCCCUUCACUCUGGGAUAACAGUUGGAAACGGCUGCUAAUACCGGAUAUUCAGCUCCUGUCGCAUGGUGGGGGUUGGAAAGUUUUGGUGGUGGAGGAUGGGCUCGCGUCCUAUCAGCUUGUUGGUGGGGUGAUGGCCUACCAAGGCGUCGACGGGUAGCCGGCCUGAGAGGGCGACCGGCCACAUUGGGACUGAGAUACGGCCCAAACUCCUACGGGAGGCAGCAGUGGGGAAUAUUGCACAAUGGGCGGAAGCCCGAUGCAGCAACGCCGCGUGCGGGAUGACGGCCUUCGGGUUGUAAACCGCUUUCAGCAGGGACGAAGCGCAAGUGACGGUACCUGCAGAAGAAGCACCGGCUAACUACGUG